RNAcentral lists this long non-coding RNA (6779 nucleotides) under Nicotiana benthamiana. RNAcentral describes it as "long non-coding RNA (NBEN_LNC022155)". Lineage: Eukaryota; Viridiplantae; Streptophyta; Magnoliopsida; Solanales; Solanaceae. The record is from RNAcentral.
CAGAAUGGUCAGAUGACCAUGUGAUGCAAUGCCUUCUUUAUUGUACUGAUUCCGAAAAGAAAGGUGCAAUAGAACUCAAGUUACUAUGGAGGUGGAGGUGAGGGCGAGGAAGACGACAUUUAUAUCCGACAAUCAGUUUGGGUUCAUGUCGAGUCGCUCCACUUCGGAAGCUAUCCACCUUAGUAGGAUGUUGGUGGAACAGUACAGGGAUAAGAAGAAGGAUCUGCACAUGGUGGUUAUUGACUUGGAGAAAGCAUAUGACAAGGUACCUAGGGAGGUGCUCUGGAGAUGUCUUGUGGCAAAGGGCGUGCCGGUAGGUUACAUAAGAGCGAUCAAGGACAUUAUAAUAGAGCUAAGACUAAGGUUCAGACUGUGGGAGGAGACUUGAAGCAUUUUCCGGUUAAGGGAUUACACCAAGGUUCUGCGCUUAGCCCGUUCUUGUUUGUUUUGGUGAUGGAUGCAUUGACACACCAUAUUCAAGGGGUUGUGCCAUGAUGUAUGUUAUUUGCUGAUGACAUAGUUCUAAUUGAUGAGACGAGAGUCGGUGUUAACGUGAGAUUGGAGGUUUCGAGUCUAAGAGUUUCAAAUUAAGCAGGUCUAAGACAGAGUACCUGGAAUGCAAGUUUAGCGCUGAGUCGAGGGAAAUAGGCAGGGAUGCGAGGCUUGGAUCACAUGUCAUCCCCAAGAGAGAUAGCUUCAAGUAUCUUGGGUCGAUGAUCCAGGGGGACGGGGAGACUGACGAGGACGUCACUCACCGUAUAGGGGCGGGCUAGAUAAAAUGGAGGCUUGCAUCUAGAGUCUUGUGUGACAAGAAAGUGCCACCGAUACUCAAAGGUAAGUUUUAUAGAGUUGUGGUUAGACCGGCCAUGUUAUAUGGGGCAGAAUGUUGGCCGGUUAAGAAAUCCCAUAUCUAGAGGAUGAAAGUAGUAGAGAUGCGGGUGCUGAGGUGGAUGUGCGGGCAUACUAGGAUAGACAACAUUAGGAAUGAAGAUAUUCGGAAGAAGGUGGACGUCGCCCCAGUGGAGGACAAGAUGCGUAUGGGCGGAGUGUUGGCCGGUUAAGAACUUCCAUAUCCAUAGGAUGAAGGUAACAAAGAUGAGUAUGCUGAGGUGGAUGUGCGAGCACACUAGGAUAGACAAGCUUAGGAAUAAAGAUAUUCGGAAGAAGGUGGACGUGGCCUUCUGUGGAUGUCAAGAUGCGGGAAGCGAGGCUCAGCUGGUUUAGGCACGUGCGUAGGAGAAGCCUUGAUGCUUCGGUGAGGAGGUGUGAGUGGUUGACUGUGGUGGGUACGAGAAAUGGUAGAGGGAGGUCUAAGAAAUAUUGGGGAGAGUUGAGCAGACAAAACAUGGUACGACUGCAGAUUUUCGAGGACAUGGCCCUUGACAGGAAGGUCUGGAAGUCAAGCGUUAAGGUUGUAGGUAGGGGAUAGUAGAGCUUUCCUUACUUCAUACCGGGAGUGAGGCGGGGUUGGAUUAUGCUUGAUCUUAGAUGGCUUGCAGUUUAUGUUGAAUCCACACUAUCCUUGCUGUUUAUCUUAGUCCAAGACGUUAGUUACUAGUUACUGUUAUUGCAUGUUAUUGAUCUUUUGGUUAUUAUGCUUCUGUUACUAUUACGGUUUCUACUGGAGUUACUAAUAAAUUAAUUUUUCUCUUUCUUUUUCUUUUUUCUUCUCUGACCCGAGGAUCUAUCGGAAACAGCCUCUCUGCCCUAUCGGGAUAGGGGUAAGAUCUGCGUACAGAUUAUUCUUCCAAGAUCCCACUUUGUGGGAUUUUAUUGGGUAGUUGUUGUUGUUGUUAUAUGGACCUAUCAACUUAAUUAGAAGUGAAUAUAAGGCUGUCUCUGAAAUCGAGGAGGACAGUGGAAAAGAGUGAUUGGGAAGCUCUUCUCAGGACACCAAAAGGCAUUCUUUAAAACAAGGCAAAUCACUGAUGGUGCACUAAUUGCUAAUGAGGUAUUGGACUGGAGGCAGAAACCAGGUUAAGACAGCGAGUGUGAGGCAUACUUUUCUCCAUUGUGCAGUUGCAACAGAUUGAGUAUGUUCAUUUCAAUUUUUUGACUAGGCUGAGUCAUGCCUAAUUGUAUUAAAGAUGCCUAGGAAAGCUAGUGUUCUUGGAGAGUUGGCAAAUUCAUAAAAAAAAAACCUUAGGUUUUGUUACCUGCUUCUAUGUUUUGGUGCAUAUGGACUGAAAGGAAUAUGAGAUGUUUAGAUAGGAUAACAACUCCAAACCAUGCUCUUAAAGCUAAAUCUUUAUUUAACCUUUUUACUUGGCUUAAUUAGGCACCUGUAUCUAGUUAUGAUCAUUUUUUGGACUGUGUUUGCUCCUUAGUUUUAACAUAGGUUUUUUGUUGAUGUUCAUAGGCAGUCACACUCUAUUUACUUGCACCCUCUUUCGCUAUGCAUCUUCUUGAUGCCUUUAAUGAAAUUCUCUAACUUCAUCAAAAAAUAUAUAGUGUAUGUUUUACCCCCUGUUUGCUCCUUAGUUUUAACAUAGGCUUUUUGUUGAUGUUCAUGAACAAUCACACUCUAUUUACUUGUGCCCUCUUUCGCUAUGCAUUUUCUUGAUGCCUUUAAUUAAAUUUUCUAACUUCAUCAAAAAAAUAUAUAGUGCAUGUUUUACCCCAACUUUGUAUAUCUAUUAUUUCUUUAGAUGCAAUGGGUAUUUGUUUCAACUGUAUAUUUUUUUAUACAAAACAACACAACAUACCCAGUAAUAUCCCACACUAUGGGGUCUGGAGAGGGUAGUGUGUACGGAGACCUUAUCCCUACCUUGUGAGGAUAGAGAGACUGUUUCCACUAGAAACCUCGACUCAGGAAAGUAUAAGCACCAUAUUAAUGAGAAAAUAGACAAGAAAGGAUAGUACUAAAAAGCCAUAUAAAAGAGAAAAAAAAUAACAAGACAAUAAGGUGAUUAGCAAUAAAGAAAACAAUGGUUAGUCAUAAAACCUACUAUCAACAGAAAACGAGACUGCGUGCCAAUACUACUGUGCUGAACACUCCAGACUACCUACUCUACUACUCUAAUCCUCGUCCGCCAUAUCUUCUUAUCAAGGGUCAUGUCCUUGUUCAGCUGAAGCUGUGCCAUGUCUUGCCAACUCAUCUCUCCCUGCCUCUUAUUUGACCUACUUCAACCUCUCCGUAGGCCCUCCAAUGUCAACCUCUCAAACCUCCUCAUCGGCGCGUUUGUGCUCCUCCUCCUCAUAUGACCAAACCACAUAAGCCGUGCUUCCCGCAUCUUGUCCUCAAUAGGGGCCACACCCACCUUGUCACGAAUAAUCUCAUUUCUGAUCCUAUCUAACCUGGUGUGCCCGCACAUCCAUCUCAACAUCUUCAUCUCUGCUACCUUCAUCUUCUGGACAUGAGCGAUCUUAUAAAAAAUGGUAGAAACCCCGUAUACAAGCCAUAUACUAAAAAGAAGAGAACCUACACCAAAAUAUGAUUCUCAACAAAAAACCAUCAAAUCCUCGGUACAAAAAGGGAUCCCAUGAUUACACAGAGAAGUAACAAGAAAUAUAAGACUAUUUUGUAAUUUUACAAAAUCUUGUUCCAUACCUUCGAAUGUGUACUUCUCUUUCCACUCCUGUGAGCCCAGCUAUGCAACGCCUUCUUUACUGUACCCGGCUUUACCCAUUGUGUCCCAAACAAAACCAUCCUUCAUAACUGAUUAUCCACCUAAUAAGAGAUGAUAUACAUUUUUGCCCGAUCUUUUGCACAGGAAACACCAACUAACAUUGAUGAUUUUCCUCUUUCUUUGAUUUUCCGCUGUCAAGAACCAUCCCUAUUGCCGCCAACCCAGCAAACAAACACAUUUUUCUCAAUGCUCAAGGAAUCCAAAUAGAGAAAUGAGGAAAGAUAUGUUCUCCUCUCCCUUGAAGACUCUUAUAGUAAGAUUGAAUAGCCAAUCUCUACUCUCAUGCCACCUCCAUACAUCCAAUGAAAUACUCAGCAUAUCCAACCCAUACUGUAACUCAACCAACAACAACAACAACCAGUAUAAUCCCACUUAGUGGGGUCUGGGGAGGGUAGUGUGUACGCANNNNNNNNNNNNNNNNNNNNNNNNNNNNNNNNNNNNNNNNNNNNNNNNNNNNNNNNNNNNNNNNNNNNNNNNNNNNNNNNNNNNNNNNNNNNNNNNNNNNNNNNNNNNNNNNNNNNNNNNNNNNNNNNNNNNNNNNNNNNNNNNNNUCUUACCCCUACCCUUGGAUAGAGAGGCUGUUUCCAAAUAGACCCCCGGCAUCCUUCCCUCCAAGAACUUCCCACCUUACUCUUAGGGAGACUCGAACUUACAACCUCUCGGUUGGAAGUGGGGGUUUGCUUACCAUCAGAGCAACCCUGUAACUCAACCAUUUUGUGAAAUUCUUUUAUCUCCCAUUCCAGUAGGUUCCUCGUAAAUCUCAAAUACUAAUGAACUUCUCACGGGACCUGCAAAUUUGUUGGACUAUCAUUCCUUUUGGCACGGUACACUAUAUAAGUUAGGGAAUGCUACUUUCAGCUCGAUCUCCUUGCACCACUUUUGUACCCAAAAACUAAUCCUGCUUCCAUCCCCAACCAUGAAGGAGAGUUCUCUAAAAUAUUUGCAACCCGUCAUAAUACUCCUCCAUAAUCUACACCCAAACGGUACUGUGAUUUUCGAGUCCUCCACCCCCUUUCUAUAAUACCGUAGUGUUACGCUACCACCCCUAUCCAAAAUGCAUUCUCCUUCACCCCGAAUUGCCAUAUUUUCGGGGCCAAAUCUUAAAAAGCUUUGUUGGAACUCCGUUAUUUUGAGCCAAACAAAAAAAGUUUUAGCCAAAUAAUGGAGUUCCAUGUGUUUAUUUAUUUUAUUCUUCUUGAGAUGCAAUGAUUAUUCAUUUUGAUUGUGUAUCUGUUUUCCUUUUUGGGACAAAUAUAUAAAGAACGUGGUUGGCACUCUAUUAUUUAUAGUCAAAUAAAAACUUCUUAGUCAAAAUAAUGGAAUUCGAAGGGUGUGUUUCUGUUUAUUGCUUCUUAGUCACAAAGAUUAUUUAUUUCAGCUGUGUACUUUUUUUUCAGGCUAAAUUUGUAAGUAACUCGGCUAGAACUCCAUUACUUUAAGCCAAAUAAGAAAACUUUUAGCCAAAAUGAUUGGGUACCAACCAUGUAUUUCUUAUUGUUCCUUCAUUAGAUGCUAUGACACUGUUUCAAUUGUGUUUUAUUUUCCAAGCCAAACCUGUAAAAAGUUUGGCUCAAACUUCAUUUUUGUCAAAUUAAAAAAUGUUUUAGCCUGUAUUGGAGUCCCAACUAAGUUUCUUCCAAAUUUGGCCCGAAAAGAUGAUUAAAAUAAUUAAUGAAUUUUAAAUGGUAAAAAUAUAUAUAUUAUCUUUAAAAAUGCCACGUGGACAAACAAAUACACGUGAUAGUGCAUAUCUCUCAUAUCCUUGGACUAAGGUCGCCCAUACGGUAAAUGCUGCCAAAUAGCCAAGUCUAGGGGGUUAUUAGGACUACGAAAAGUUUAGAUGUGCACGGAGUAAACCAUACCAAGAUCAGGGGGUAGUUUGGUAUUCUGGCAAAAUAUACUCAAUGAAAUUAUACUUGUUCUUAGAAGGAAAAUAACAUAGUAGCAUGUCCUAUUUAUGUCAUGUUCCCUAAUUUUUGUUAUUUUUUUCUGUUGAUGGUAUGUUUUAGUCUUACCAUCAACAGAACAUAGGAUUUUUUUGACAAGAGGGGUUGCUCUGAUGGUAAGCAACUCCACUUCCAACCGAGAGGUUGUGAGUUCGAGUCUCCCAAGAGCAAGGUGGGAAGUUUUUGGAGGGAAGAAUGUCGAGGGUCUAUUUGGAAACAGCCUCUCUACUCAGGGUAAAGGUAAGGUCUGCGUACAUAUUACCCCUCCUCAGACCCCACUAUGUGGGAUUAUACUGGGUCGUUGUUGUUGUUGUUGUUGAAAAAGUCUCUACAAAGUUCUUUGUUUAGCUUAGGGUGCUUAUUGGGUGGAUAAAUACAUUUAUCAGUUCGACUUAUCGACACUAAGUGGGAUUAUACUGGGUUGUUGUUGUUGUUGGUAUGUUUUAGUCUUAGAUGUGCCAGUGUCUUGAUGGAGCAGAAGCAAUCAAAUAUUAACCAAGAACGGAAGAACUCUUCUUUAAAAUGAAGAUGGAAAACAAGAGAGUAAAUACUAAUAAUCAAUACUCCCUCCGUUUCAAUAUAGAUGAUGUAGUUUGACUUGGCACAAAGUUUAAGAAAAAAAAAAAGAAGACUUUUGAAAUAUGUGGUGCUGAAGCUUAAGAGACAAAAGCUUAGUGAGGCUAUGAUAUUUUGUGUGGCUAUAAAAGCUUCUGAUUAAGGGUAAAGUGAGUAGAACGAAAUGUGUCAUUCUUUUUGGAACGGACUAAUAAGGAAAGUAUGUCAUUUAAAUUGAAACGAAGGGAGUAGUUAAUAAUAAAUAAAGCGGUUAGGUGACUUUUUAAUGCAAACUUCUUCCUGGGCCCCAAAAGGUGCCUUUUCCAAUUACUUAGGAAAAUAACGAAACUCAACCUGAACUAGUAUGCAUACCAGCAACAAAUUUGCAGAAUAGGACCGAAAAGAGAACCGCAUAAAGGAUAAAAGUUUGACCGAAGAACCUAAUAUAACUAAAUGCGAAAAAGGGCCAGACAAUUCGAGGAGGGGUUGCAAGGUGUGCGCUCAUGGAUUCUAUUAAGAGUAUAGAUUCGUCUUAUGAAGACAAGUGCGUGAUUGUGUCCCCCAACUAUGGUGGGAUCAAAAGUAAUGACCAUUUAAGCUCUUAACAACAUAAUGAUUUGAUUUCUAAUGGUCCCAGCUGUCUGUCACG